UUAGGUUGAUCCGCUGAAUUUAAGCAUAUCACUAAGCGGAGGAAAAGAAACUAACCAGGAUUCCCUUAGUAACGGCGAGUGAAGAGGGAAGAGCCCAGCACCGAAGCCUGUGGUUGUUUGAUCAUAAGGCAAUGUGGUGUUUAGGUUUGUCGACGGAAUUACUGCUCCACUCCAAGUCCAGUCUUGAGCAUGGUUUACAGACAUGGCCCACAGAGGGUGUAAGGCCCGUGGGAGUGGAGACUUCGGCAGUAGUUUCUCGGGCGAACCUUGGAGUCGGGUUGUUUGAGAAUGCAGCCCAAAGCGGGUGGUAAACUCCAUCCAAGGCUCAAUACUGACACGAGUCCGAUAGCGCACAAGUACCGUGAGGGAAAGUUGAAAAGAACUCUGAAGAGAGAGUGAACAGUACGUGAAACCGCUCAGAGGUAAACGGAUAGAGUUGAACUGCAAGCCCGUGGAGAUUCAGCUAGCAAGUAUGACCGUGUGGCCAACGUGUGUGUCUGCAUUAUAGCGGGUCAGGUCUUCGGACUUUGAUUGGCAAUGCACUUAUGAUGUGUUGUUUGCACUCGCGUUUUGGUGGCCAGCUUGUUAGUGCACUUUUUCCGGGUGUUCAUCACGACCGACGCGUGGCCUGUCUGCUGUGACCAAACCAGCAAGUUUCGUGUCCUUGUGGCUCAAGCUUGUUGGGAUGGCAGGUAGCUUGUCGGCCUUCGGGCCUUCAAGUGUAAUAGCCGGUUGCAGUGGAGCUGUGCUGUGUGUCGGCGACGGCGGUCU
This 771-nucleotide ribosomal RNA is filed under the name Lecithaster sp. MC-2022. Its description in RNAcentral is "partial large subunit ribosomal RNA". It matches the Rfam family "Eukaryotic large subunit ribosomal RNA", at positions 16 to 608 of the family's 3401-position model. The record is from RNAcentral. Lineage: Eukaryota; Metazoa; Platyhelminthes; Trematoda; Azygiida; Lecithasteridae.